This 407-nucleotide unclassified non-coding RNA is filed under the name uncultured Inocybe. RNAcentral describes it as "sequence contains ITS2". The stretch from base 1 to 154 matches the Rfam family "5.8S ribosomal RNA". The record is from RNAcentral. Lineage: Eukaryota; Fungi; Basidiomycota; Agaricomycetes; Agaricales; Cortinariaceae.
AACUUUCGGCAACGGAUCACUUGGCUCUCGCAUCGAUGAAGACCGAAGCGAAAUGCGAUAAGUAAUGUGAAUUGCAGAAUUCAGUGAAUCAUCGAAUCUUUGAACGCAUCUUGAGCUCCUUGGUAUCCCGAGGAGCAUGCCUGUUUGAGUGUCAUUGAACUUCUCUCAACUGCAUCAUUUUUGUUUGAUGUGGCUUGGAAUGUGGGGGUAUUUUUGCAGGCUUAGAUUGAAGUCGGCUCCCCUGAAAUGCAUUAGUGGUAUCUGAGCUGCUAUUUGGUGUGAUAAUAAUCUACGCCUUUGGUAUGCUGGGUCAGCACCGCUUAUAACAACAAAAAUUAUUUGACAAAUUUGACCUCAAAUCAGGUAGGACUACCCGCUGAACUUAAGCAUAUCAAUAAGCGGAGGCU